This is a long non-coding RNA of Suricata suricatta (meerkat), 780 nucleotides long. RefSeq lists it as uncharacterized. Lineage: Eukaryota; Metazoa; Chordata; Mammalia; Carnivora; Herpestidae. The record is from RefSeq and is a predicted model, not a curated record. The transcript has 2 exons.
GGAGGUGCUGGCGGGCGGGGCGGGCGGGGCGGGGCCGCACAGCAGGACGGUUCCGGUUCCAUCGCGAGUGUCCACCACCUUCUCAUCUCCACAGUCUCACCUGGAAGACAGAACCGACACUGGGUGCUGGGAACCUCCGCGUGGCCCUGAGGCCGACAGCCCCCGCUCCGUGGGUCCAGCAGCUGGAGACGCCCCCCGGCAAGUGUGCCGUCGAGGCGGGAGACCCCCCCGGACCAGCGGUGGCCGGGAACAAGAAGAAACAGAAGCAGAGGCAUUAAUUGGCCUGGCCCUGGUUACACACUUUCGGUGUGAGAAAGGGGGGCACCACGAAGCCGGACUCAAGAACUCCUGUCCCUUCCCUGCCUUGUCAGGGCCACCUGCUGAUUGCGGCGCUCUGCCCCGGAAGGGGCCCCCGAGAUGAAAUGUGCUCUGUCUCCGAUUACUGUGGUUUCCGUACAAUCCGCGGAGGGCCACUGCUCUCAACGAGACGGCCGAACUGAGACACCAGGACAAGGGUCCUGCCUCGUGAGGACAGCGCAUGAGGACAUCGUUCCAGGCAGACAAGACCGGGCACCACGGCGAUGGGCCAGCCCCUCCCCGCUCAGCGCUGCGCUGUCUUCCGCGCACCCGGGAAGCACACGCCGACGCUGAGGUCCGUGCGCCUGACGCUUCUUGCUCCACGUGGGGACUGAGUGCUACUGGGUGGCAGGGCCCGCGGCCGGGUGGAGGGGAAGGAGCUGAUGAACAAAAUUAAAAUCCCCAACCGGGAUCUGCCUCCCA